Molecule: ribosomal RNA, 305 nt
Filed under: uncultured bacterium
Lineage: Bacteria
Description: bacterial SSU rRNA
Rfam family: Bacterial small subunit ribosomal RNA
Source: RNAcentral
AGUCCUACGGGGGGCAGCAGUGGGGAAUAUUGCACAAUGGGGGAAACCCUGAUGCAGCGACGCCGCGUGAGGGAAGACGGUCCUACGGAUUGUAAACCUCUUUUGCCGGGGAGCAACGGGGUCCUUGCGAGGGCCCGAUGAGAGUACCCGGAGAAAAAGCAUCGGCUAACUCCGUGCCAGCAGCCGCGGUAAUACGGAGGAUGCGAGCGUUAUCCGGAUUUAUUGGGUUUAAAGGGUGCGUAGGCGGGCUGUUAAGUCAGCGGUCAAAUGUCGGGGCUCAACCCCGGCCUGCCGUUGAAACUGGC